RNAcentral lists this ribosomal RNA (229 nucleotides) under uncultured bacterium. Its description in RNAcentral is "partial 16S ribosomal RNA". It matches the Rfam family "Bacterial small subunit ribosomal RNA", at positions 568 to 796 of the family's 1533-position model. The record is from RNAcentral.
UGCGUAGGCGGCAUCGUAAGUCAGGAGUGAAAUCCCACGGCUCAACUGUGGAACUGCUUUUGAUACUGCGAUGCUUGAAUUAGGUUGAGGUCGGCGGAAUAUGACAUGUAGCGGUGAAAUGCAUAGAUAUGUCAUAGAACACCAAUUGCGAAGGCAGCUGGCUAGACCUACAUUGACGCUGAGGCACGAAAGCGUGGGGAGCGAACAGGAUUAGAUACCCUGGUAGUCC